This 693-nucleotide ribosomal RNA is filed under the name Klebsiella sp. RNAcentral's name for it is "bacterial SSU rRNA". It matches the Rfam family "Bacterial small subunit ribosomal RNA", at positions 802 to 1498 of the family's 1533-position model. Lineage: Bacteria; Pseudomonadati; Pseudomonadota; Gammaproteobacteria; Enterobacterales; Enterobacteriaceae. The record is from RNAcentral.
GUAAACGAUGUCGAUUUGGAGGUUGUGCCCUUGAGGCGUGGCUUCCGGAGCUAACGCGUUAAAUCGACCGCCUGGGGAGUACGGCCGCAAGGUUAAAACUCAAAUGAAUUGACGGGGGCCCGCACAAGCGGUGGAGCAUGUGGUUUAAUUCGAUGCAACGCGAAGAACCUUACCUGGUCUUGACAUCCACAGAACUUUCCAGAGAUGGAUUGGUGCCUUCGGGAACUGUGAGACAGGUGCUGCAUGGCUGUCGUCAGCUCGUGUUGUGAAAUGUUGGGUUAAGUCCCGCAACGAGCGCAACCCUUAUCCUUUGUUGCCAGCGGUUCGGCCGGGAACUCAAAGGAGACUGCCAGUGAUAAACUGGAGGAAGGUGGGGAUGACGUCAAGUCAUCAUGGCCCUUACGACCAGGGCUACACACGUGCUACAAUGGCAUAUACAAAGAGAAGCGACCUCGCGAGAGCAAGCGGACCUCAUAAAGUAUGUCGUAGUCCGGAUUGGAGUCUGCAACUCGACUCCAUGAAGUCGGAAUCGCUAGUAAUCGUAGAUCAGAAUGCUACGGUGAAUACGUUCCCGGGCCUUGUACACACCGCCCGUCACACCAUGGGAGUGGGUUGCAAAAGAAGUAGGUAGCUUAACCUUCGGGAGGGCGCUUACCACUUUGUGAUUCAUGACUGGGGUGAAGUCGUAAGGUA